GACGAACGCUGGCGGCGUGCCUAAUACAUGCAAGUUGAGCGCUGAAGGUUGGUACUUGUACCGACUGGAUGAGCAGCGCACGGGUGAGUAACGCGUGGGGAAUCUGCCUUUGAGCGGGGGACAACAUUUGGAAACGAAUGCUAAUACCGCAUAAAAACUUUAAACACAAGUUUUAAGUUUGAAAGAUGCAAUUGCAUCACUCAAAGAUGAUCCCGCGUUGUAUUAGCUAGUUGGUGAGGUAAAGGCUCACCAAGGCGAUGAUACAUAGCCGACCUGAGAGGGUGAUCGGCCACAUUGGGACUGAGACACGGCCCAAACUCCUACGGGAGGCAGCAGUAGGGAAUCUUCGGCAAGGGACGAAAGUCUGACCGAGCAACGCCGCGUGAGUGAAGAAGGUUUUCGGAUCGUAAAACUCUGUUGGUAGAGAAGAACGUUGGUGAGAGUGGAAAGCUCAUCAAGUGACGGUAACUACCCAGAAAGGGACGGCUAACUACGUG
Molecule: ribosomal RNA, 497 nt
Filed under: uncultured bacterium
Lineage: Bacteria
Description: partial 16S ribosomal RNA
Rfam family: Bacterial small subunit ribosomal RNA
Source: RNAcentral